CACAUGCAAGUCGAACGAGGUCCAUGCAGUAGCAAUACUGCGGAAGACCUAGUGGCGAACGGGUGAGUAUCACGUGAGAAACCAACCCCGGUCUUUGGGAUAACAGUUGGAAACGACUGCUAAUACCGAAUGCCGUCGUUGCCUCGCAUGGGGCGAUGACGAAAGGGCUACCGGAUCGGGACGGUCUCGCGGCCUAUCAGCUUGUUGGGGAGGUAACGGCUCACCAAGGCCUCGACGGGUAGCUGGUCUGAGAGGAUGAUCAGCCACACUGGGACUGAGACACGGCCCAGACUCCUACGGGAGGCAGCAGUGGGGAAUCUUGCGCAAUGGGCGAAAGCCUGACGCAGCAACGCCGCGUGCGGGAUGAAGGCCUUCGGGUUGUAAACCGCUUUUACCAGGAACGAAAAUGACGGUACCUGGAGAAUAAGGUGCGGCCAACUACGUGCCAGCAGCCGCGGUGACACGUAGGCACCAAGCGUUGUCCGGAUUUAUUGGGCGUAAAGAGCUCGUAGGCGGUUCAGUAAGUCGGGUGUGAAAACUCUGGGCUUAACCCAGAGACGCCACUCGAUACUACUGUGACUAGAGUUCGGUAGGGGAGCAGGGAAUUCCUGGUGUAGCGGUGAAAUGCGCAGAUAUCAGGAGGAACACCGAUGGCGAAGGCACUGCUCUGGGCCGAAACUGACGCUGAGGAGCGAAAGCGUGGGUAGCAAACAGGAUUAGAUACCCUGGUAGUCCACGCCGUAAACGGUGGGCACUAGGUGUGGGUUCCAACCAACGGAAUCCGCGCCGUCGCUAACGCAUUAAGUGCCCCGCCUGGGGAGUACGGCCGCAAGGUUAAAACUCAAAGGAAUUGACGG
This 857-nucleotide ribosomal RNA is filed under the name uncultured bacterium. RNAcentral describes it as "bacterial SSU rRNA". It matches the Rfam family "Bacterial small subunit ribosomal RNA", at positions 52 to 916 of the family's 1533-position model. The record is from RNAcentral.